This 497-nucleotide ribosomal RNA is filed under the name uncultured bacterium. RNAcentral describes it as "partial 16S ribosomal RNA". It matches the Rfam family "Bacterial small subunit ribosomal RNA", at positions 28 to 507 of the family's 1533-position model. The record is from RNAcentral.
GACGAACGCUGGCGGCGUGCCUAAUACAUGCAAGUUGAGCGCUGAAGGUUGGUACUUGUACCAACUGGAUGAGCAGCGAACGGGUGAGUAACGCGUGGGGAAUCUGCCUUUGAGCGGGGGACAACAUUUGGAAACGAAUGCUAAUACCGCAUAAAAACUUUAAACACAAGUUUUAAGUUUGAAAGAUGCAAUUGCAUCACUCAAAGAUGAUCCCGCGUUGUAUUAGCUAGUUGGUGAGGUAAAGGCUCACCAAGGCGAUGAUACAUAGCCGACCUGAGAGGGUGGUCGGCCACAUUGGGACGGGGACACGGCCCAAACUCCUACGGGAGGCAGCAGGAGGGAAACUUCGGCAAUGGACGAAAGUCUGACCGAGAAACGCCGCGGGAGGGAAGAAGGUUGUCGGAUCGGAAAACUCUGUUGGUAGAGAAGAACGUUGGUGAGAGUGGAAAGCUCAUCAAGUGACGGUAACUACCCAGAAAGGGACGGCUAACUACGUG